UACAGAGGUCCCAAGCGUUGUUCGGAUUCACUGGGCGUAAAGGGUGCGUAGGCGGUCGGGUAAGUCUGACGUGAAAUCUUCAAGCUCAACUUGGAAACUGCGUCUGAUACUAUUCGGCUAGAGGAUUGGAGGGGGGACUGGAAUACUUGGUGUAGCAGUGAAAUGCGUAGAUAUCAAGUGGAACACCAGUGGCGAAGGCGAGUCCCUGGACAAUACCUGACACUGAGGCACGAAAGCUAGGGGAGCAAACAGG
Molecule: ribosomal RNA, 253 nt
Filed under: uncultured bacterium
Lineage: Bacteria
Description: partial 16S ribosomal RNA
Rfam family: Bacterial small subunit ribosomal RNA
Source: RNAcentral